Non-coding RNA from Dufourea novaeangliae, 46 nucleotides. Lineage: Eukaryota; Metazoa; Arthropoda; Insecta; Hymenoptera; Halictidae. The record is from Rfam.
AAAAUGGCCCUUUUCAGGGCCACAACAUUUUUUGAGGCGACGAAAC